Molecule: ribosomal RNA, 522 nt
Filed under: Gephyromantis asper
Lineage: Eukaryota; Metazoa; Chordata; Amphibia; Anura; Mantellidae
Description: partial 16S ribosomal RNA
Rfam family: Bacterial large subunit ribosomal RNA
Source: RNAcentral
UCCAGCCUGCCCAGUGACUUAGUUUAACGGCCGCGGUACCCUAACCGCGCGAAGGUAGCAUAAUCAUUUGUUCUUUAAAUGAGGACUUGUAUCAACGGCACCACGAGGGUUUUACUGUCUCCUUUCCCUAAUCAGUGAAACUAAUCUCCCCGUGAAGAAGCGGGGAUAAACCUAUAAGACGAGAAGACCCCAUGGAGCUUUAGACGAAGCUACAAUCCAAUUUUAUACACCCUUUAUUAAGCAGGAUUUAUGUAAGCUCAGUUUUAGGUUGGGGUGACCGCGGAGUAUAAAUUAACCUCCACGAUAGACGAAACUUUUCUUAUCUAAGAGUUACAUCUCUAAGAAUUAGUAUACUAAUAUUUAAUGAUCCGAUAAUCGAUCAACGGACCAAGUUACCCUGGGGAUAACAGCGCAAUCCAUUUUAAGAGCCCUUAUCGACAAAUGGGUUUACGACCUCGAUGUUGGAUCAGGAUAUCCUAGUGGUGCAGCAGCUACUGAAGGUUCGUUUGUUCAACGAUUAAA